RNAcentral lists this ribosomal RNA (440 nucleotides) under uncultured bacterium. Its description in RNAcentral is "partial 16S ribosomal RNA". It matches the Rfam family "Bacterial small subunit ribosomal RNA", at positions 338 to 795 of the family's 1533-position model. The record is from RNAcentral.
CCUACGGGAGGCAGCAGUGGGGAAUAUUGCACAAUGGGGGAAACCCUGAUGCAGCGACGCCGCGUGAAGGAAGAAGUCUUUCGGUAUGUAAACUACUAUCAGCAGGGAAGAAAAUGACGGUACCUGUAUAAGAAGCCCCGGCCAACUCCGUGCCAGAAGCCUCGGUAAUACGGAGGGGGCAAGCGUUAUCCGGAUUUACUGGGUGUAAAGGGAGCGUGGGCGGUUGAGCAAGUCAGAAGUGAAAGCCCGGGGCUCAACUCCGGGACUGCUUUUGAAACUGUUGAGCUAAAUUGCAGUAGAGGUAAGUGGAAUUCCUGGUGUAGCGGUGAAAUGCGUAGAGAUUAGGAGGAACACCAGUGGCGAAGGCGGCUUACUGGACUGUAAAUGACGCUGAGGCUCGAAAGCGUGGGGAGCAAACAGGAUUAGAUACCCCUGUAGUC